GGGGUCAUGGUGCAACCAGGUAACACGGCGGGCUCCAGACCCGCAUAUUAGGGUUCAAAUCCCUAUGACCCCA
Molecule: transfer RNA, 73 nt
Filed under: Microcaldota archaeon
Lineage: Archaea; Nanobdellati; Microcaldota
Also listed under: 1 other name
Description: Candidatus Micrarchaeota archaeon (hot springs metagenome) tRNA-Trp
Rfam family: tRNA
About the family: Transfer RNA (tRNA) molecules are approximately 80 nucleotides in length. Their secondary structure includes four short double-helical elements and three loops (D, anti-codon, and T loops).
Source: RNAcentral